AAAACGGGUGGGCUAUAGCCUUGCGGGGUGGGGCUGGCCAACUUCGUCCGCCGGACUUGGAAUGCCGCGAGACAUUACGAGGGGCCUCCGUGUGCCAAAAAUAGGCCGCGGGCAAAGCCGCGCCCAAAAAUAACCGCCCGAAGGCCGGGGCGCCAAGUUCGUCCAGCGGAAAAAGGCCCCAAAAACGGGUGGGGUAUAGCCUUGGGGGUUGGGCUGGCCAACUUCGUCCGCCGGACUCGGAAUGCCGCAAGACUUUGCGAGGGGCCUCCAUGUGGCAAAAAUAGGCCGCGGGCAAAGCCGCGCCCAAAAAUAACUGCCCGAAGGCCCGGGCGCCAAGAUCGUCCAGCGGAAAAAGGCCACAAAAACGGGUGGGCUAUAGCCUUGGGGGGUGGGCCUGGCCAAGUUCGUCCGCCGGACUCGGAAUGCCACGAGACUUUGCGAGGGGCCUCCGUGUGACAAAAAUAGGCCGCGGGCAAAGCCGCGCCCAAAAAUAACCGCCCGAAGGCCGGGGCACCAAGUUCGUCCAACGGAAAAAGGCCACAAAAACGGGUGGGCUAUAGCCUUGGGGGGUGGGGCUGGCCCACUUCGUCCGCCGGACUCGGAAUGCCGCGAGACUUUGCGAGGGGCCUCUGUUGCCAAAAAUAGGCCGCGGGCAAUGCCGCAGCCGAAGGCCGGGGCGCCAAGUUCGUCCAGCGGAAAAAGGCAACAAAAACGGGUGGACUAUAGCCAUGGGGCGUGGGGCUGGCCAACUUCAUCCGCCGGACUAGGAAUGCCGCGAGACUUUACGAGGGGCCUCCGUGUGCCAAAAAUAGGCCGCGGUCAAAGCCGCGCCCAAAAAUAACCGCCGGAAGGCCGGGGCGCCAAGUUCGUCCAGAGGAAAAAGGCCACAAAAACGGGUGGGCUAUAGCCUAGGGGGGUGGGGCUGGCCAACUUCGUCCGCCGGACUUGGAAUGCCGCGAGACAUUACGAGGGGCCUCCGUGUGCCAAAAAUAGGCCGCGGGCAAAGCCGCGCCCAAAAAUAACCGCCCGAAGGCCGGGGCGCCAAGUUCGUCCAGCGGAAAAAGGCCCCAAAAACGGGUGGGGUAUAGCCUUGGGGGUUGGGCUGGCCAACUUCGUCCGCCGGACUCGGAAUGCCGCGAGACUUUGCGAGGGGCCUCCGUGUGCCAAAAAUAGGCCGCGGGCAAAGCCGCGCCCAAAAAUAACAGCCCGAAGGCCCGGGCGCCAAGUUCGUCCAGCGGAAAAAGGCCACAAAAACGGGUGGGCUAUAGCCUUGGGGGGUGGGCCUGGCCAAGUUCGUCCGCCGGACUCGGAAUACCGCGAGACUUUGCGAGGGGCCUCCGUGUGACAAAAAUAGGCCGCGGGCAAAGCCGCGCCCAAAAAUAAC
RNAcentral lists this long non-coding RNA (1384 nucleotides) under Citrus x clementina. Its description in RNAcentral is "Citrus clementina (C. clementina) long non-coding RNA (CCLE_LNC003725)". Lineage: Eukaryota; Viridiplantae; Streptophyta; Magnoliopsida; Sapindales; Rutaceae. The record is from RNAcentral.